Non-coding RNA from Chlorocebus sabaeus (green monkey), 1650 nucleotides. Lineage: Eukaryota; Metazoa; Chordata; Mammalia; Primates; Cercopithecidae. The record is from the annotation of a RefSeq genome assembly.
GUGUGCAUGCGCACGCACACAGGCAGACGCCAGGAGUAGAGUGUGAUGGUUCAAAAAGAAAAGGAAAUGCUUAAGGUAGUGAAUCACGUUUUGCCCAGGAAAACACACUUGAUAAUUGAAGGAUGAUGAAGCGUUCACAGGCUUUACUAGCGAUCUUUUGGCUUCUACUGAGCUGGGUGAGCAGUGAAGACAAGGUGGUACAAAACCCUCUAUCUCUGGUUGUCCAUGAGGGAGACACUGUAACUCUCAACUGCAGUUAUGAAGUGGUUAACUUUCGAAGCCUACUAUGGUACAAGCAGGAAAAGAAAGCUCCCACGUUUCUAUUUAUGCUAACUUCAAGUGGAAUUGAAAAGAAGUCAGGAAGACUAAGUAGCAUAUUAGACAAGAAAGAACUUUUCAGCAUCCUGAACAUCACAGCCACCCAGACCAGAGACUCGGCUGUCUACCUCUGUGCUGUGGAGGCACAGUGCUCCCUAGUCACCUGCAGCCUGUACUCAAAUUCUACAGCUGAAGCUCUGCAACUGUAAGAUGGGGAACUUGCUAUAUUGAGCAAGUCCUCAAAAAUAAACUAUAAGGAAAAGCAGUUAUUGGUCAAGAUCCUUGUGCCCAUGUUGACAAUUACUUUUGCAGUUUACUGAAUCCUAACUCAGAGUCAUAUCAUUGCAUUCACUCCCUUCUCUGUGAGUUUUCUAUGGGAUUCAGCAUAGCUAAUAUUUCUAGAGGGUCACUCAGGAUACUAACUCCAUUGCCACACCGUUAUGCCCUGUGAUAGAAAGCAAACCCUUUUACCAGGAUUGUACAGGCAACUGAUAUGUGCACUACACAUUAGGGAAUCUGCCUAACAGCUAUGGAUGGUUUAGCUUCCUUCCCAGAACAGAUACAUUUGUGGUAAAGUUCUGCCUAUAACAUUUUUUACUGGACCUACUGGCAAAGAACAAAGGGUAAGAGCAAGCAGGUAUCAUUACCUGAUUAAAACAAAAGGUUUUCAUUCUCAAUUGCAUUAUUCUUACUUACUAUCUUCAUUUUAGGAUUGUUGCCUAUUCUGGGUACGUCAUUAAAGUGGUGAUAGAAUUUUCUCAAGAUAUUACACAUUAAUUUGUAUACUUAGAAACUUAAGCAGCCUACCAAAAGAAACGAGUUGGCUGAAGUAAGUUAUGUGAAGCUAACAUAAACUUAGCCUACUUAUGUUGCGAUACACUCUUUCAAUGAAUUAUGUAAUCAUAUAUAUGGUAUUUACAAAGAGCUUGCAAUGGAAGCUACUGUUUAUUGAAAGCAAGUAUUAUGUGCCUUGUAUUUUGCAAAUAUCACCUCAUUGAAUUCUCAAAAUAACUCUGAUGGAUCAUCAAUAUUACUUUCUGUUAGCAUAUUAGGAAAUGCAGACUCAGAAAGAUUAAGUCCCCUUCCCCACCCCCUACCCCAGACAAAUAGCUAUAACAGAAUCUGAAAUCAGGUCUACCUGACUCCAAACUAUACUUUCUCUAUUACAUGCCCCCAGUGUUAAACACCAUCGAGGAAAAUUUUACCCACAGCGUGACCACAAUUACGUACAAAAAAAUGUACACGCAAUACUGAAAUAGCAUGUUUAACAUGUAAAUAAAAUAGCAUUUACAAUAACAUGCGAAUAAAAUAACUCCAAAUGUUUGAAACAGU